GCGCGGGAGUGCCGCAGCGGGUGUCCGGGAGUAACCUUGCCGCGGAAUUUGGCAGACGCGCAGGAUUCAGGUUCCUGUGUCCGUUACGGACGUGAGGGUUCAAGUCCCUCCUCGCGCA
RNAcentral lists this transfer RNA (118 nucleotides) under Acidimicrobiia bacterium. RNAcentral describes it as "tRNA-Leu". The record is from RNAcentral. Lineage: Bacteria; Bacillati; Actinomycetota; Acidimicrobiia.